UGGGGAAUCUUCCGCAAUGGACGAAAGUCUGACGGAGCAACGCCGCGUGAGUGAUGACGGUCUUCGGAUUGUAAAGCUCUGUUACUCGGGACGAAUGGUUUGUGUGCAAAUAGUGCAUAGACAUGACGGUACCGGAAUAGAAAGCCACGGCUCACUACGUGCCAGCAGCCGCGGUAAUACGUAGGUGGCAAGCGUUGUCCGGAAUUAUUGGGCGUAAAGCGAGCGCAGGCGGUUAGAAAAGUCUGAAGUGAAAGGCAGUGGCUCAACCAUUGUAGGCUUUGGAAACUGUUUAACUUGAGUGCAGAAGGGGAGAGUGGAAUUCCAUGUGUAGCGGUGAAAUGCGUAGAUAUAUGGAGGAACACCGGUGGCGAAAGCGGCUCUCUGGUCUGUAACUGACGCUGAGGCUCGAAAGCGUGGGGAGCGAACAGG
RNAcentral lists this ribosomal RNA (429 nucleotides) under Verrucomicrobiota bacterium. RNAcentral's name for it is "Verrucomicrobia bacterium partial 16S ribosomal RNA". It matches the Rfam family "Bacterial small subunit ribosomal RNA", at positions 355 to 776 of the family's 1533-position model. The record is from RNAcentral. Lineage: Bacteria; Pseudomonadati; Verrucomicrobiota.